GAAUGAGAGCGUGACCUGGCUGUGACCCUGCCACCCCAUUGAUUGCCAGAGCCCAUUAGACUGAUGUGGUGGCCCGGUGUCUUCUUUCUCCCUCACCUCUGUCUACGUCAGCCUUCAAGUCUAGGGCUCAGACAACAGGAAUGACCUUCCCUGAUAAAGGAAUAUUUGUCCUCAGUAGGCCCAGGCGGUGCGAACUCAACUCAGGGUGGCUUCAAGCUGGGACUUUUUCUGUGACCCAGCAACGCCUCCCAAAGUGUUGGGAUGAACACUGU
This 272-nucleotide small RNA is filed under the name Carlito syrichta (Philippine tarsier). Its description in RNAcentral is "7SK RNA (ENSTSYG00000023850.2)". The stretch from base 1 to 179 matches the Rfam family "7SK RNA". From Rfam's summary of the family: 7SK was discovered as an abundant small nuclear RNA in the mid-70s but a possible function has only recently been suggested. Two independent studies have found that 7SK RNA binds the CDK9/cyclin T complex (known as elongation factor P-TEFb). P-TEFb activates transcription by phosphorylating the C-terminal domain of RNA polymerase II. The record is from RNAcentral. Lineage: Eukaryota; Metazoa; Chordata; Mammalia; Primates; Tarsiidae.